RNAcentral lists this small RNA (108 nucleotides) under Flavobacterium frigoris. RNAcentral's name for it is "Flavo-1 RNA". It matches the Rfam family "Flavo-1 RNA". The record is from RNAcentral. Lineage: Bacteria; Pseudomonadati; Bacteroidota; Flavobacteriia; Flavobacteriales; Flavobacteriaceae.
ACAAAUCCGCGUGAGGGAUAGUAGUGGAGCUCCUUUUUCUUGACUUGCGUCGGGUUUAAACCCGAGGCAAUUCAAGAAAAAGAGCGGGAACGAAUAGCCCGACCCUUU